This is a long non-coding RNA of Tympanuchus pallidicinctus (lesser prairie-chicken), 2853 nucleotides long. RefSeq lists it as uncharacterized. Lineage: Eukaryota; Metazoa; Chordata; Aves; Galliformes; Phasianidae. The record is from RefSeq and is a predicted model, not a curated record. The transcript is spliced from 3 exons.
AACCACUGACUGAUCACCUGAGGAAAGGACUGAGUCAGCCGUGGGAGCACAGGUGAAAGUAAUUCUCCUGUGUGAUCUCCCAGACCCCAUUUAAGGGCUGACUGGCACUGGGGAAGGUUCUCUUUCUGGAGAUCCCUCCCCUGUGGAGUCUUUCCUGCAAUCCGAGAUCUUCAGAUACAGGCUAACUCGAUUCUUCUUCCUUCUGGCCAGAACACAUGCCACUGAAGGAACGAUUUAUUUCCUGAAACCAUGCUGCUUUCAGCAGUUUCAAAUAGCUUUAAAUUAUGUGAAGUAAAACAAAAAUCUUCAAAUCUACAAGAAGUUCUCCAUCAGCUUUGUGUUUUUCUCUAAGGAAAUUAUUGCUUUUUAAUCUGCCAUUCAUCUCAUCCACAGAGGAACAAAGUGGAUUUUCAGGUCAGAUACCUCUCUUACAAAUCAAUAAGACGUUGUUGAAAAGUUGGUAUUUGAAAGGUACGGUACAAAUGAUACGUAUGUGACUCCUGUGUAAAUGAUGUACUGAAGUCUGUGUAAUAUUGAGAGAUGUUUGAACCCAGGUGGGUUCUUGGCUGGCUGGACCCUACAAGUGAAACAGAUGAAGUCAUAGAGAUUGCUAGUUUUUGUCAAGGAGGUGUGUAAGAUGUUUUUGUUUCAGGCGCCUUAUUCCUUAAGGUAACGUAUAUCAGUGCACAUGAAGAAACUGGGUCAUACUCUAUUAGGUUUUGCAGAAAUAUAGUAAGCAAAAAGUGGAUGUUCUAAUAGGCUAUAGAGAUUGAACUGUAAGGCUGGGAGUACUUGGGAUGCAUGAACAAGACUCGGCUGUAUUGUGGGAAUUAGCUUUGUAUCAUGAUAAUGCAGAUGCUUUUUUGGAAUUGAUCUGAAAUAUAAAUAAUUGAUUUUUCAAAAGUAAAGCUGCUAAAAAUGAAAGGAAGAAGUCUCCUGUUGAAACUUGACAAGGAAUAAAAUAUUUUAAUUGAGCUCCUAAACUGGUAUUUGAGUAAUGGCAGUUAUCACAAAUGGAUCACUUCAAAGACAUACUCUAGGCUGGCCAAGAAGGCAUCGGGCCACUCUGUGGCUUUUUUUCCCCAUGCAGUAUAAGCUUCAAAAACUGUCUAUUGCCAGAUUUAACUUUUAUGUGGACUGAGAUAAUGGGAGCUGGCUACUAAUAGUGAAGCACUAAAUGUCCUUCAUUUCUCCUGAUCAUUUGUACUUGUUAGGCUGUAGCCAGCUUGUGAGGUGUUUUGGCUGUGGAGAUAUUUCUACACUGUGACGUUUGUUUCCAUCCUGAUUGAAAAUUAUACUAAUUAAAGCUUGUUCCCUGGUUUUCUGCUCUUCAUAAGUGCAGUGAUUCUGGAGUAGAUUAAUGACAUAUAUUUUGAAAAAUGCUGAUUAUCAAGUCUGAUUUUUCUUUUUGUACCAAUGUGUUGCUUCUGACAACAUCUUCUGAUCGGAACAAGACUCUGUACAAAAAUCUUUAAGCAGCUGCAUUUUUAUGAAUAUAUUAAUUUCAUUACUUAUUCUUCCUCUGAUGAAGACCUGAAACCAGUCUUCCAUCUGAAAUGUAAAACUUACAACUGUUUACAUGUAUAUGAAUAUAUAUUUAUAUGCACAUAUGCACAUAUACCUAUAUAGCUAUGCUUCUCCAUGCAAAUUGAAGACAAACCUUGACUUUUUCCACAUUUUAUUUUUUUCUUUUAAUGUCUCGGGCAGUUCGUUAUACAGGAAAUAUGCCAUGAUUCAUCCAUUCUAAUAGAUUCCACCCCCAACUAGGGCUGAAUUUUCCAUCUUUUGAAGAAGAAUUUCAUGCCGUUAACGAUGUACAUUCAGACUAGGUAACCUUACUUCCUGAGUUGCCUUUCCUUUCUUGGCAGUACUAAGUGGCAAAGCAAAGAGCUGCAGAACAAAACAUUUUCUCGACUUGGAGGCUCCUAGCAAAUGUUUCAUUCCUCAAACUGAGCUCUUUCCUGCUUAAAACUUUCGUAACUUGUUUGGAACUUAAUGAGCCCCACAUGUCUUGGCUCCCAGCGCCAGCCAGACUGCAACAGCAGAACAAGUCUCCUGCUCUGCACAGAGUCAUGAAAAAUGUCAGUCUUGCCCAGUACUUUUUUGAAAUCUUUUUCUUUUUUUUUGUUUACACUCUGAGGACUUUAUUUGCUGGUCAGAUGACCCCCUAAAUUCAAAACUGAAUUUAUGACACACUGCAAAUCUCCUGCGUGGUUAUGAAGACAGCAGACAAAAUAGCACUGUAGUGCUCCGAUCUCUCUUGGAUUCUCAUGAAAUAUGAUGCCAAGGCUGAAGUUUUAGGCCUGAUAAAAACUAUCCGCAGGAACUUCUUGAUUGUUCCAGAGAAUCUACUUUCCUUUUCACCAGCACGAUUACAAAGGAUAAAGUCACAAAUGUGGCACCCAUUGUGAAUGGCAGAGAUUUGGCGGAAGGUGGUUCCUGACCAGAGAGGUUUACAAUAAUGUAUAGAAACAGACAAUAAUCUAUUUUGAAGUUUGUAUGUGUACAUGUCUAUAUAUGCACAUUUAUAAACUUCUUUGAAGCCAUUUCAGAAACCAUCUCAACAGUAGAGAAACAGCAAAAGCGACUCAUUUGAUAAAGCAAAAGGUAUCUAAGAUAUCUAGAUGAAAUGCCAUGGUAAAAGAAGAAGAAAAACAAUCCCUGAAAUCUCAAAAAGAGUACUGUUAUGUAGAGUUUUCAUACGUAUUUUCCAUGCUGAGGUAGAAAUUCAUAUCUAGCUAUGUAGGUAUUCUCUCUUUCUUCUACAGAAGUUGCUCUUAGCAUUUGUAUGCCAUAACAAUGUUAUAAGCUACACGAAGCUCUGUGAUUCAAUAAAGUAAUUUAGAAAAAGCA